GGUCAUUAGAUUUAAGAUAACUUUAGGCCAUUAGAUAGGGAUUUAUGGACGUUGUCCUUGUUUCCCGGGGAGAGAUAGCCUUAACAGUACACACAUGCAGGUCUCACAUCAGUUGGAUCAAAAUGUCGGCCAUAAACUUUGAAAUUACGGACCAAAGAUUGAAAGAAUAUGAAGAAAAUGGUUUCAUUAUCAUAAGGAAUUUCUUCGAUGACGAAGAAGUGAGAAAGAUGAAAAAAUGUUUUGAAGAGACAGAAGAAAUGGCCAACCAAAAG
This is a long non-coding RNA of Saccostrea cuccullata (small rock oyster), 272 nucleotides long. RefSeq lists it as uncharacterized. NCBI's taxonomy places the organism in Eukaryota, Metazoa, Mollusca, Bivalvia, Ostreida, Ostreidae. The record is from RefSeq and is a predicted model, not a curated record. The transcript has 3 exons.